RNAcentral lists this ribosomal RNA (130 nucleotides) under uncultured bacterium. Its description in RNAcentral is "partial 16S ribosomal RNA". It matches the Rfam family "Bacterial small subunit ribosomal RNA", at positions 404 to 523 of the family's 1533-position model. The record is from RNAcentral.
AGUGAUGAUAGGCUUUCAGGGUCGUAAAACUCUGUUGUUAGGGAAGAACAAGUACGAGAGUAACUGCUCGUACCUUGACGGUACCUAACCAGAAAGCCACGGCUAUACUACGUGCCAGCAGCCGCGGUAA